AUUGGUCGAUAGGUUGAUAUGCAAACUGUAUCUGCUUUACGGUAAAGUGUGCGAUCCAAAGUAUUCUGUCGAAAAGGGAACAUAUUUUUUAUUCUGCUGUGAAUUUGCAGCUUACAGAAACUGAAGAUGAUUGAGGUGGUUUGCAACGAUCGCCUGGGCAAAAAAGUCCGGGUUAAAUGCAACUCUGAAGAUACGAUUGGAGAUCUGACUAGAAGCUCAUUGCCGCCCAGACAGGAACACGAUUUUGACAAAAUUUUUUAACAG
This is a long non-coding RNA of Gymnodraco acuticeps, 264 nucleotides long. RefSeq lists it as uncharacterized. The transcript has 3 exons. Lineage: Eukaryota; Metazoa; Chordata; Actinopteri; Perciformes; Bathydraconidae. The record is from RefSeq and is a predicted model, not a curated record.